This is a regulatory RNA element of Lachnospiraceae bacterium 28-4, 163 nucleotides long. NCBI's taxonomy places the organism in Bacteria, Bacillati, Bacillota, Clostridia, Lachnospirales, Lachnospiraceae. The record is from Rfam.
UUGUUUUUAAUCAUAAUUUUACUUAUGAAAUGGUCGAACCCCAGGGGAAAAUUGCCAUGGAUGGCAAUUUUAGGAAGCGUCGGACAGGAUGUCCGUUGCUUCCGACCCAUCCGCAUGGUUACAACCAUACUCCAUUUCAUUAGUAAAAUUUGAUUAAAAACUC